CCACACCUCGUCACAGUGGUCAACUAUCAACAAUCAUCUCUAUCUCUCGCCUGGGAUCGGAUCAUGAGGGCGUCUAGCGUUGCAUUGGGCGUGUGGGCGUGCGUUCUGCUGAUGGGCGUGGGCGUGGAUCCUUCCCCCGCCCCGUGCUGCAGGGGGGUCGGCACCCUGGCGGUAGGCGCUUUGGCUUUCACUGGGGGCGUUCUUGUCGCGAAGCACCAUUAUCGGCAUCAUCAU
Penaeus vannamei (Pacific white shrimp) is the source of this 234-nucleotide non-coding RNA. The record is from RefSeq and is a predicted model, not a curated record. Lineage: Eukaryota; Metazoa; Arthropoda; Malacostraca; Decapoda; Penaeidae.